UUUCUUCUUGCAUUUUUACCAUCCACACACCCAAUAUAUUUUUUUUUAAAUACGACAGAUUUUAUUGAUAAUCUCCUAGAUCGAUCACAAGAAGAAAUCGGAAAGAGGGAAAAAGUUACAAGGACACUGUUAAAGCAUGAAAAGGAACGACGACAGAGAACCAACAAAAACACCUAUGGCCAAAGAAAUACAGUAGAGCUUCCCAUCCAAGUCAGAUUCCUCAAGCAACAAGUCAUUAAAACCAUUAGCAACAAGUCACAUAGCAGCAUCAACAAAACAGACUGUUGUUCAAUCGAGAAAAGGUUGUAUUGUAUCUAUCCUCAUGUACUAUUUUUCUCUCAAAUUAUUUCUUCAAUUCAGAGAGUUUGGCCAAAUUAAAAUUUAUUUUAUAGUAAAC
This 397-nucleotide long non-coding RNA is filed under the name Medicago truncatula (barrel medic). Its description in RNAcentral is "long non-coding RNA (MTRU_LNC001301)". The record is from RNAcentral. Lineage: Eukaryota; Viridiplantae; Streptophyta; Magnoliopsida; Fabales; Fabaceae.